This 68-nucleotide transfer RNA is filed under the name Glyptocidaris crenularis. Its description in RNAcentral is "tRNA-Gly". The record is from RNAcentral. Lineage: Eukaryota; Metazoa; Echinodermata; Echinoidea; Phymosomatoida; Phymosomatidae.
ACCCUAUGAGUACAUCAGUAUUUUUGACUUCCAAUCAGAGGGUCUUGGCGAAAACCUAAGAUAGGGUA